RNAcentral lists this ribosomal RNA (497 nucleotides) under uncultured bacterium. RNAcentral's name for it is "partial 16S ribosomal RNA". It matches the Rfam family "Bacterial small subunit ribosomal RNA", at positions 28 to 507 of the family's 1533-position model. The record is from RNAcentral.
GAUGAACGCUGGCGGCGUGCCUAAUACAUGCAAGUAGAACGCUGAAGCUUGGUGCUUGCACCGAGCGGAUGAGUUGCGAACGGGUGAGUAACGCGUAGGUAACCUGCCUCUUAGCGGGGGAUAACUAUUGGAAACGAUAGCUAAUACCGCAUAAAAGUCGAUAUCGCAUGAUAUUGAUUUGAAAGGUGCAAAUGCAUCACUAAGAGAUGGACCUGCGUUGUAUUAGCUAGUUGGUGAGGUAACGGCUCACCAAGGCGACGAUACAUAGCCGACCUGAGAGGGUGAUCGGCCACACUGGGACUGAGACACGGCCCAGACUCCUACGGGAGGCAGCAGUAGGGAAUCUUCGGCAAUGGGGGCAACCCUGACCGAGCAACGCCGCGUGAGUGAAGAAGGGUUUCGGAUCGUAAAGCUCUGUUGUAAGAGAAGAACGAGUGUGAGAGUGGAAAGUUCACACUGUGACGGUAACUUACCAGAAAGGGACGGCUAACUACGUG